Molecule: ribosomal RNA, 305 nt
Filed under: uncultured bacterium
Lineage: Bacteria
Description: bacterial SSU rRNA
Rfam family: Bacterial small subunit ribosomal RNA
Source: RNAcentral
CUCCUACGGGGCGCAGCAGUGAGGAAUAUUGGUCAAUGGUCGGGAGACUGAACCAGCAACGCCGCGUGAAGGAAGAAGGCUUUCGGGUUGUAAACUUCUUUUGUCAGGGACGAAGCAAGUGACGGUACCUGACGAAUAAGCCACGGCUAACUACGUGCCAGCAGCCGCGGUAAUACGUAGGUGGCAAGCGUUAUCCGGAUUUAUUGGGUGUAAAGGGCGUGUAGGCGGGAAUGCAAGUCAGAUGUGAAAACUAUGGGCUCAACCCAUAGCCUGCAUUUGAAACUGUAUUUCUUGAGUGCUGGAGG